Molecule: ribosomal RNA, 301 nt
Filed under: uncultured bacterium
Lineage: Bacteria
Description: partial 16S ribosomal RNA
Rfam family: Bacterial small subunit ribosomal RNA
Source: RNAcentral
CAGCCGCCGCGGUAAAACGUAGGGUGCAAGCGUUAAUCGGAAUUACUGGGCGUAAAGCGUGCGUAGGCGGUUUGUUAAGUCUGUUGUGAAAUCCCCGGGCUCAACCUGGGAAUGGCAAUGGAUACUGGCAAGCUAGAGUGUGUCAGAGGAUGGUGGAAUUCCCGGUGUAGCGGUGAAAUGCGUAGAGAUCGGGAAGAACAUCAGUGGCGAAGGCGGCCAUCUGGGACAACACUGACGCUGAGGCACGAAAGCGUGGGGAGCAAACAGGAUUAGAUACCCCAGUAGUCCCUGUCUCUUAUAC